Oncorhynchus keta (chum salmon) is the source of this 890-nucleotide long non-coding RNA. RefSeq lists it as uncharacterized. The transcript is spliced from 3 exons. The record is from RefSeq and is a predicted model, not a curated record. Lineage: Eukaryota; Metazoa; Chordata; Actinopteri; Salmoniformes; Salmonidae.
ACAGUGAAAUGCUGAAUACAACAGGUGUAGUAGACCUUACAGUGAAAUGCUGAAUACAACAGGUGUAGUAGACCUUACAGUGAAAUGCUGAAUACAACAGGUAUAGUAGACCUUACAGUGAAAUGCUGAAUACAACAGGUAUAGUAGACCUUACAGUGAAAUGCUGAAUACAACAGGUGUAGUAGACCUUACAGUGAAAUGCUGAAUACAACAGGUAUAGUAGACCUUACAGUGAAAUGCUGAAUACAACAGGUGUAGUAGACCUUACAGUGAAAUGCUGAAUACAACAGGUGUAGUAGACCUUACAGUGAAAUGCUGAAUACAACAGGUAUAGUAGACCUUACAGUGAAAUGCUGAAUACAACAGGUGUAGUAGACCUUACAGUGAAAUGCUGAAUACAACAGGUGUAGUAGACCUUACAGUGAAAUGCUGAAUACAACAGGUGUAGUAGACCUUACAGUGAAAUGCUGAAUACAACAGGUGUAGUAGACCUUACAGUGAAAUGCUGAAUACAACAGGUAUAGUAGACCUUACAGUGAAAUGCUGAAUACAACAGGUGUAGUAGACCUUACAGUGAAAUGCUGAAUACAACAGGUGUAGUAGACCUUACAGUGAAAUGCUGAAUACAACAGGUAUAGUAGACCUUACAGUGAAAUGCUGAAUACAACAGGUGUAGUAGACCUCACAGUGAAAUGCUGAAUACAACAGGUGUAGUAGACCUUACAGUGAAAUGCUGAAUACAACAGGUGUAGUAGACCUCACAGUGAAAUGCUGAAUACAACAGGUGUAGUAGACCUCACAGUGAAAUGCUGAAUACAACAGGUAUAGUAGACCUCACAGUGAAAUGCUGAAUACAACAGGUGUAGUAGACCUUACAGUGAAAUGCUGAA